RNAcentral lists this ribosomal RNA (274 nucleotides) under uncultured bacterium. RNAcentral describes it as "partial 16S ribosomal RNA". It matches the Rfam family "Archaeal small subunit ribosomal RNA", at positions 473 to 747 of the family's 1478-position model. The record is from RNAcentral.
AAACCAGCACCUCAAGUGGUCAGGAUGAUUAUUGGGCCUAAAGCAUCCGUAGCCUGCUCUGUAAGUUUUCGGUUAAAUCUGUAUGCUCAACAUACAGGCCGCCGGGAAUACUGCAGAGCUAGGGAGUGGGAGAGGUAGACGGUACUCGGGAGGAAGUGGUAAAAUGCUUUGAUCUCUCGAUGACCACCUGUGGCGAAGGCGGUCUACCAGAACACGUCCGACGGUGAGGGAUGAAAGCUGGGGGAGCAAACCGGAUUAGAAACCCCAGUAGUCC